UACGUAUGGUGCAAGCGUUAUCCGGAUUUACUGGGUGUAAAGGGAGUGUAGACGGAGUGGCAAGUCUGAUGUGAAAACCCGGGGCUCAACCCCGGGACUGCAUUGGAAACUGUCAAUCUAGAGUACCGGAGAGGUAAGCGGAAUUCCUAGUGUAGCGGUGAAAUGCGUAGAUAUUAGGAGGAACACCAGUGGCGAAGGCGGCUUACUGGACGGUAACUGACGUUGAGGCUCGAAAGCGUGGGGAGCAAAC
Molecule: ribosomal RNA, 250 nt
Filed under: uncultured Ruminococcus sp.
Lineage: Bacteria; Bacillati; Bacillota; Clostridia; Eubacteriales; Oscillospiraceae
Description: partial 16S ribosomal RNA
Rfam family: Bacterial small subunit ribosomal RNA
Source: RNAcentral